This is a long non-coding RNA of Pogoniulus pusillus (Red-fronted tinkerbird), 861 nucleotides long. RefSeq lists it as uncharacterized. The record is from RefSeq and is a predicted model, not a curated record. NCBI's taxonomy places the organism in Eukaryota, Metazoa, Chordata, Aves, Piciformes, Lybiidae. The transcript is spliced from 5 exons.
UUCAACAUUGGAAGAUGUUCUGGCAGUUUGCAUUAGUUUUGAAACUGAACCAAAAGAAGAGAAAUGCCCACUGACUUGGAUGCACUGGAGCUGUGUGAGGUGCUGAAGUGAAGAGUUGGAGCAGCUGAAGGUAAACACCUGCUGUCCUAGGAGCUAAUAAAGGCUGCAAAACACUGCCACAGAAGUACUACCACGGGGCAAAGCAUGAGAGGUGGCUGGUGUGUCUUCUUCUCUGCCGUGUGUGGGACUGUCUAGAAGUGGUGUAUGAACUGUGCUUCAAAUCCGGCUUGCUGGUGGAACUUUGACUGUGAGCUAACUGGUGUACAGGAGAGCAACUCCCAGCUAAUUGGUGGCACAAGAUGCAAAUGGAAGUAGGAUGAGAGGCUUCUAAAACAGGAGGUGGAGAAAGUGAACUCCAUUAACAGGAUCUUCAGCCAACCUCAAGGACUCAUUUCUGAUGCAACUAAAGGAAGGUGCAAGCUCCUACUUUAAGGAUCACAACAGCCAGUGUAUAGUGUCUGGUCCAGUUAGAAUGAUCUGAAGAAGUAAUUGCACUGUAGUCACCUCCAGCCAGAACGUCACCAAUAUGUCCCCUCUGUUCUGGGAGGCUGGGCAGACCUAUUGGCUUCCUCCUCACUUCGCUCUGAUAUCUCUGCACUAAUCUUGGCUAGCAGAAGACAAGAAAGUCAUAAUGAAUACUGACAAUUUCUGGAGGAAAAACUGUGAAGUAAUCUUAAGGGAAAUGAAGCUGAACAAAAGCAUUGGGAGUUUGAGCACAGGCCUGAUUCCACUAAGUUUGUCUCAGGUCACCUCAGAAGAAAGGCAAACCUUAUUGGAGUAAAGUAACUAAUUGUUAUACAA